CGAAGUCGAAUUUAAACUUUCUUACUCCCUCGACCAGUAUAAAUAAACGAAUACGAUCUUUAGAACAACCAGUAUCGAGCAUUCUUAUAGCGAAUGAGUAUCGAGCGAACGUAAGCAUUAUCUUGUAUACAUAUAUCGAGCAACACCGAGCGAACGACGAUUAACUCUAUGCUGCGAAUAAGUUUAAAUACAUUUGACUAUACAAAGUAUUAACUCGUCUCAUCGCUAUAUACACCUAACUAAUUCAAUUUUCUGCCAUGAAAGAUACAAAUAACAUGCUGAUUGAUCUCUAUCCUCGAGGUACUAGCCAUUGAAACCAACUUAUCCACGCAUACUAUAAAUAAUACCAUUAUGUCUGCGGACGUCUUUCGUUGUACAAAACGAUUCCUCGAAUCCUUAAACACGAAGUUUCGAAACUUAAAGCAAAUAUCCUGUAGCGAGGCGAGCCCACAUCGUGUCCGUAUACUUGCGGAUUAGAAUCCACAACAGUAUCAACAACGUGGAAUGCAAUCGUUUACGCACGCGGUCCAACAAUCUAUUUACCCGAGUCUGAAGCAUACUCCGACCGUCCACGUGACAUAAUCUGCAGCUCCGUUGCGAGUUAUCGAGUUCAUCCAUACCCAAGUUCGAUCAACGCCGGCUUAACUAUUUAGAAUCUCUAACCGUAGUUCUGGGAUUUGCUUUGACGAGCCAGUGUAGAACAUCCGCGUCUGACGACGAAUUCGAACCAGUCCACUGUUCGUGGCAUGCAUUGUGCGACCUAUGCAUGCAUGCACGAUGUUUGCACUGCUUGGUCGCCACGAUUAUUGUCCAGCGCUGUUUGGCCGUGUGUACGUACCAGCGGAAAACUGGAAACCUCUCUCGAAUCGGAUUCGAGAAGUUCUAUGUCUAUAUCGUGAAGCAGAGUGCGGAACUCGCCCGAGAGCCGCUUUCUAAUGUUCGUGGCGGCUGUAUUUGGUGUGUGUGAGGAAGUUUCGAACGAUAGCUUCGUGCGCUAGACAGAGAACGACCGGAAAAGUGGUCGUCCCGCAUACGUAAGUUUGCCAAGAUUUAUGGCGCACGCGAGACGACUGCCCGAGAAAAAGAUAAGACUCGAACGAGAUACGAGUGCGACGGAAGAAAGUGCCACGGACACCGACAUUACCCGACUUAUUUACCGGAGAUGUUUGCAACCGGAGAAGGUGGGUCCAGCGAAUGUCGUCGAACGAAACAAGCAAUCGCUUUAAAUUAGGAAAUCUCCAGUUUUUUGUGAAAAUAAAAGAUCGUUAAACUCGUUAAGGACAACUGCUGUAUCCACGCGACAUCGAUAACGCACGAAUGACUAUAUUAUUUAAUCGUGUAGAUUAAAGAAGAAGAAAAAUUGAAAUUUCUCCUUAGACGUUAGACGUCGAUGUAGGUAUCAAUCAUCUCGAACAAGAAGAUUACGAAUUACGAAUUACCGUAGGAACAAACACCAACGAGGAUUAUUGGAUCCGGGGAAUUUAAUUGAUUCAAAACACGGUAUGGCACAACUCGCAUACGGAUCUAUUGACCGCGCAUAAUCUAGCCAAACCCAUCCAUUCCAAUUCGUAUUCCAACAUGUUUCCAUUCAAUUUCGAGUUCGUCGCUUACGGGAAGUCUAAUUUGAAAAUCAACCGUGUCUUAGGCUAACACGCGUACUUCCGUCGGUUACCGGUUGCGACGACAAUGCAACCGCGGUCCGUAAGCCAGGAUUACGGGCCUGGACUUGUUCUACGACACAAUAUCAAUCAUGUUCUGUUAGUUAAAGUUCGUCGUUCGAGUCACCAACGUAACGCAAACCGCACCAGCCAAGGAAUCAAAGCGUGUUCAUGGAUUCGAGGAAGCACGUGCAAUCAAAUCAAAGGCAACGAGAUCUACUCAUCCAAUCAUGCGUGCUACGAUUGAAUGUAACCAUCGAGAUGGUCCACUGAAUGAGACCAGCAACGUUUCCGCAAGCUUGCUUCGCAGCUUCAUUAAAUCACUCACUGGUGAAAAACACAAGGUCACAUGUAACUGAUCUCUCGCACGUGACAGAAAAUAAUCGUAAAGAUUAUCCGGAGUGGGUGGUCGCCUUGGAUCAUCCUUCUUCAUCAUAGGCG
Long non-coding RNA from Bombus terrestris (buff-tailed bumblebee), 2099 nucleotides. RefSeq lists it as uncharacterized. NCBI's taxonomy places the organism in Eukaryota, Metazoa, Arthropoda, Insecta, Hymenoptera, Apidae. The transcript is spliced from 4 exons. The record is from RefSeq and is a predicted model, not a curated record.